GGACAUGCAGCCAGGCCCAGUGAGUGGGGACCCCAGGGAGGACACGCAGCCAGGCCCAAUGAGUGGGGACCCCCAGGGAGGACACGCAGCCAGGCCCAGCGAGUGGGGGUCCCCAGGGAGGACACGCAGCCAGGCCCAAUGAGUGGGGACCCCAGGGAGGACACGCAGCCGGGCCCAGCGAGUGGGGACCCCCAGGGAGGACACGCAGCCAGGCCCAGCAAGUGGGGUGGCAGAGGUCUGGAGCUGGGAGAACUGUCGCCUGGAGCAGCCGGCCAGUGAGUGGAGGCCGGACUUCAGCCAGCCUGGGAGCCAGGGAUGGACGGGGGCCAGGCCUUUCCACGAGGUGCAGCCUGGGCAGAGGGAAAGCGCCUAGCGGCGUGGGCUUGGGGAUGGCGGCACAAACCAGGGGGCAGGGCUGAGAGGGACGGGGCCAGUCUCAGGGACCCCUGGAUCUGAGGGGUGGGGGGUCCCUGGUGACUUAGCAGCAGCUUCCCUGGCGGAGGAGGGCACAGCCCACGGGCUGGUUCAGUUGGUGGAAAGGGCAUCUCGGGCAGGGUGGGGACAAGCUCAAAUGAAGAGUCGACUGGGCAACAGGAGAUGCGCCAGCUGGACGCAGAGCAAACGUAGAAGCAGAUAAACCGAGUGGAGGGAGAGGCAGAACUGGGUCCGAGGCCCCAGAUGCUCACAGGGCGGCCACCGCACAGUCUGUUAGUUACAAGGUGAGCACACUUGGCCCCUGUGCGCACGGACACAGAUGAGGAACCAGCUCCGCGUGACCACCGGGAGGGGUCAAGAUCAGAGAAGAGUUGGGUUUGUAGAGCGAAGGGGGUGGAAGAGCACUUCCGACGGGACUGGACAGGACGGGGCUGCACAGCCUGGAGGCAGAGCAGGAGAGGCUGCAGGUGGGGGUGUCUUCCCCAUAGACCGAGGGAGGAGACAGGCAUCCGCUCAGAGGCGGCCUGGGGGGGCCUUGAGAGGUCCGUGAAGUCGGGGUGAAGACCAUCUGCUUAAAUGCACGAAGUCAGACGCAGGAGUUUGGGGAAUUUUGUCCCCACACCCACGGGACAGCCCAGGCAGGACACACAUGUAGUCCCCGAGCUGCUCUCUGCCUGCGUCUCCGGCCGCCUCACCCACCACUGCCUCCCCGCCCCCAGCUGGGCCCAGGCACAUAUACACCUCUGCACUUCUCACCCGCCAAGUGCUUCGUGUCCACAGCUGCGCCCGUGCCUGUCCCCUCCAGCGCCACCCCUGCCCUCGGUCCUCUCCGCCUGGCUUGUCCCUGCUCACUCUCUCAGGCGUAGUUCCACACACAGCCAUCACGGACCCGCUCUGGCCCGCGGCACCUCCUCCUUCCUGCCCAGGCCCGGGGCCCAGAGCUGUGACAGCGCUCGUCAUGCCCGGGCUGUCACUCACCCCUUCCACCAGGGGCUCCUGCGGGGCAGAGACAUGCUCGGCAGACGUGUCCCCAGUGUGUGAACAAAGGCAAAGGCCAGCCCAGCCUCUGCUCCGUCACUGAAGCCAGGACCAGCCACCUUCGGCCGCCACCCUGAGCUCCCUCACCCCAGGGCUGGGGAGGGGGGCCUUGUCCUCAGUGGCAGGGGAGGAGGACGUGGAGGGGAGGAGGACUCCCCCCUUCAGGGAGGAGCAGCCCACGGGCACUGGCAGGGGAGUGGGCAGGGGUGGAGGAGGGCAGAGGAGCUCUUGUUCCAGGCCGGGGAGCCCCUUGUCCCGUCACAGCCCCCUGCCUCCCUCGCAGGACACAGCCCCGAGCACCGAGCGCCAUGAGUCACGUCAUGCCCGUGCUUCACCGGCUCUGAAGCUGCCGCUCUGUGCGGCCCGUGGACAGCAGCGCUGGGUCCUCCCAGACCCGCCGACUUGACUCUGCCUCCAAGUGGCAGGCGUCUGCUGCACAACGACGUCUGAGCAGUGUGGCUCUGAGGGUCCGGUGAGAGGCGCCAAGAGCUCGGGCUGAGACUCAGGAGGCAUGGAAAUGCGCCCGCCACAGCAGGGGCCUCCGCCUGCGCUCUGAGGGCCCUGCUCCCCAGCUGCGGCCACAGGGCACGCCCGCAGAAAAGCUGAAGCCAAGGCAUACUCCAGGGUGACACGUGUGCCUAGAAAGACUGUCCCCUGAGUGCCCUGCCUGAAAAAAUUCCCCCAAGGUGUUCUUCAAAUCAGACAGAAGCAGCAAAAUCAAGAACUCAAGAACGGGGAAGAGGGCACAGAAGCCCCGGUCAGUUAAACACACAAAAACAUGGAAAAAGGCU
Molecule: long non-coding RNA, 2264 nt
Organism: Equus asinus (donkey)
Lineage: Eukaryota; Metazoa; Chordata; Mammalia; Perissodactyla; Equidae
Source: Ensembl